This 396-nucleotide long non-coding RNA is filed under the name Medicago truncatula (barrel medic). Its description in RNAcentral is "long non-coding RNA (MTRU_LNC002940)". Lineage: Eukaryota; Viridiplantae; Streptophyta; Magnoliopsida; Fabales; Fabaceae. The record is from RNAcentral.
AGUUACCAAGCCAAAAGGGCACAUUCAUGUCUCCAUCCAACUCAUCUUCGUCUACCUUCAACACACAUCAAUUGGUUGAUGUAGAUAAAGUUUCAUCUUGUGUAAGUAUGCUAAAAGGUACAUUACAGCGCAAGAAACUCGAAUGCCAAGUCGAGAAAGAAGCUGCAGAAGAUGGCUUGAAUGAAAUAUUUUGCAUUCGAGAACCUCUUUUCCAAUCAGCUUUUAAUGAAGAAGAAAGUUGGAAUCAACAAAAGCUAGUAAACGUUCAAGGAGAUUUUACCGAUCAAGUUAACGAUCCCGGAGUCAUGCAAACCCUUGAAGGAACCACAAACUUUGUCUUAGAUGGUUUUGCAAAUCAGACGAACCAAAUACAAGGCAGAACAGCUUCUGGAGAAC